Molecule: ribosomal RNA, 253 nt
Filed under: uncultured bacterium
Lineage: Bacteria
Description: partial 16S ribosomal RNA
Rfam family: Bacterial small subunit ribosomal RNA
Source: RNAcentral
GACGUAGGGCGCGAGCGUUGUCCGGAUUUAUUGGGCGUAAAGAGCUCGUAGGCGGCUUGUCGCGUCGACUGUGAAAACCCGCGGCUCAACUGCGGGCUUGCAGCCGAUACGGGCAGGCUAGAGUUCGGUAGGGGAGACUGGAAUUCCAGGUGUAGCGGUGAAAUGCGUAGAUAUCUGGAGGAACACCGGUGGCGAAGGCGGCAUCCUGGACCGGCAUUGACGCUGAGGAGCGAAAGCCAGGGGAGCAAACGGG